CUCUCUCCCCCUCUGCCUCCCUCCCUCUCUUUUUGCCGAUGGGCUGUACUUGGGCAGGGGGAGAGCGCUUUACCAGUUGUGUGAGUGCAGGAGAGGUAGAGAGAAGGAUCUCCAUGCUCUAUCAGGCAGAACAAGAGUCCUGAUUCUCUCUCCGGCUUGUGGGAUAUACAACAGUGACACAGUCCUGUGGUGCCACAUAGCCCACAGAUCCAGAAUCCAAUGGUGCGAUGGCCCCCAGGCAGGGCAGUGUGGGACUUCUAGGUCCUCCAGCAGGCGUGCCUCUCCCUGUCCUCCCACUCAUCCUCCUCCUCUGUGGCCAGAUGCUGGAUGCCCAGGGACAAGCUCAAGCGUUUGGCGUCGCCGGCCUUCUAGCUGCUGCCGAACCUACUGCUGGCAAACGCCCUUCACUCAUCAACCCCGGACUUGUCUCAUCAUCAUUAAAAAACACCUGGUUCCAAUCGCCACUCUGUCACUGUAUAUAUACUCCCUCUGUCAUUUGUCUAUUUCAGACGUUGUAAAUGUUGCUUGUUUUCCUGAGAGGAAUC
Molecule: long non-coding RNA, 545 nt
Organism: Oncorhynchus tshawytscha (Chinook salmon)
Lineage: Eukaryota; Metazoa; Chordata; Actinopteri; Salmoniformes; Salmonidae
Source: Ensembl